This 449-nucleotide ribosomal RNA is filed under the name uncultured bacterium. RNAcentral describes it as "bacterial SSU rRNA". It matches the Rfam family "Bacterial small subunit ribosomal RNA", at positions 29 to 473 of the family's 1533-position model. The record is from RNAcentral.
AACGAACGCUGGCGGCGUGCUUAACACACGCAAGUCGAACGCGAAAGUUUUCUUCGGAAGACGAGUAGAGUGGCGCACGGGUGAGUAACGCGUAAGUAAUCUGCCCUGGUAUCUGGGAUAACCCACCGAAAGGUGUGCUAAUACCGGAUACGCUGAGCAAUCAGGAAAGGUGGCCUCUUCAUGAAAGCUACUGUACCAGGAGGAGCUUGCGCACCAUUAGCUAGUUGGUAGGGUAAUGGCCUACCAAGGCAACGAUGGUUAGCGGGUCUGAGAGGAUGAUCCGCCACACUGGAACUGAAACACGGACCAGACUCCUACGGGAGGCAGCAGUGAGGAAUAUUGCGCAAUGGGGGAAACCCUGACGCAGCGACGCCGCGUGGAUGAUGAAGGCCUUGGUCGUAAAUACCUAGUCAGAUGGAAGAAAUAGUAGUAUGCCUAAUACGUAGUAC